UAACCGAUGUAGUAUAGAACCCCGUGAAACCAAAACCCUAGUCUUCUCCCUUUCCUUCCUCAACCAGCAACUUCAAAAACAAAACACAGAUCCUUUGCGGCGCCACCCACGGCUUCCAAGCUCUACAACUCUUGCAAAUCCGCCACCGCCACCUUGUAUUGCUGCCCUGACACCGCCUUCCUCUACGGUGCCUGCGACUCCAAGGUCCACACCGCUAACAAGCUCGCCUCGCGUCACCCGCACGUCAUGCUCUGCGAGGUCUGCGAGCAGGCUCUAGCGCACGUCACCUGCACGGCCGACGCUGCCGCGCUCUACCUCGCCUGCGACCGCGACAUCCACUCCACCAACCCCUUCGCCAGCCGCCACGAGCGCCUCCCGGUCGGCGGUCACUCCAUUCUUUGAGUCCGUACACUCCGUCAAUGACUCCUCGCCGAUCAACUUCCUUGACGAGCACUGCUUCUUCUCCGAUGCCGAUGCUUUCGGGUAUACGAAGAUGGGGUUUUCUGGUAAUGUUGAGCCAUGUUUUAUUGUUCCGACAGUGGUUGCACUUAAUGAGUCGUUUCUGAAUCAAUCUAGGAGCUCUUCUAAAGGCAAUUGGGUUGCCCAACACAAUGUUGGGGUUAUGGCGGAUCUUGAUUUCUUCAUUGGGGAUGACACACUUUCCAAGUCUCAAUUGGGUUUCCGAUUCGGCAUGGUCAGGUUGAGAAUUGGGAUUCCAUGGAGCACUUCUAGCAGCAGUGCAUAUAGAUUUACAUCGGUUAUAAUAAGAAUUGAUGUAAAAUUGUAUACAUUUACUACGUCACUCUCUUCUACAUCGAUUUUAGAACCGAUGUAGAUGAUGUUAAAGAACCGAUGUAGAUAAUGUGUCUUGUAGUAGUGGAUGAUCGUUGCAACACUUUCAGUUCAACUCACAAGUUUGUUUCAUUUGUCUUCAUCAUUUUUUUCUUGUGAUGGAAGAUAAUUGUUUCAUUUAAUGCAAGUAUUAAAUACAUUUUACCAAAUGAUA
Cajanus cajan (pigeon pea) is the source of this 1006-nucleotide long non-coding RNA. RefSeq lists it as uncharacterized. The record is from RefSeq and is a predicted model, not a curated record. Lineage: Eukaryota; Viridiplantae; Streptophyta; Magnoliopsida; Fabales; Fabaceae.